GACGUCAAUCAUCAUGCCCCUUAUGUACCUGGGCUACACACGUAAUACAAUGGCGGUCAACAGAGGGAUGCAAAGCCGUGAGGUGGAGCGAACCCCUAAAAGCCGUCCCAGUUCAGAUUGUGGGCUGCAACCCGCCCGCAUGAAGUUGGAAUCGCUAGUAAUCGCGGAUCAGCAUGCCGCGGUGAAUACGUUCCCGGGCCUUGUACACACCGCCCGUCACACCAUGAGAGUCGGGAACACCCGAAGUCCGUAACCUAACCUAAAGGAGGGCGCGGUCGAAGGUGGGUUCGAUAAUUGGGGUGAAGUCGUAACAGGGUAACCCGUUAA
Molecule: ribosomal RNA, 327 nt
Filed under: uncultured bacterium
Lineage: Bacteria
Description: bacterial SSU rRNA
Rfam family: Bacterial small subunit ribosomal RNA
Source: RNAcentral